This 6980-nucleotide long non-coding RNA is filed under the name Homo sapiens (human). RNAcentral's name for it is "HSALNT0062534". The record is from RNAcentral. Lineage: Eukaryota; Metazoa; Chordata; Mammalia; Primates; Hominidae.
CUGAAUUGCCAGCAUCAUUACUUAGGAACAUUAUUAAGUAAAAUAAGGAUUACUUGAACACAAGCACUGUGAUGCUCAAUAGUUGAUCUGAUAACCAAGACGGUUAGUUACUAAGUGACUAAUGAGCAGGUAAUAUAGAUGGCGUGGAUGUGCUGUACAAAGAGAUGAUUCACGUCCCAGGCAGGACAGAGUGGGAUGGCGUGAGAUUUCGUCACAUUACUCAGAACAGCAUGCAAUUUAAAACAUGAAUUGCUUUCCAUUUAAAAAUAAAGGAAUUUGAUUAUGCGUUCUCUAAAGCUUCCAAAAGGAUCCAGUCCCAGAUACGUAUUACAUUUAGUCAUCAUGGCUCCUUCGUCUCCUCUGCACAAGGGGAAGCAGCCUGUGGCCCUCACCAGAUGCAGAUAUCCAAUCUUCCAGCAAACAGAAUCACGAGGAAACUGACAUCCAGUAAAAGAUCAACAUUAAACAUAAGCCUGGUAGCAGAACCAUAACAGAACCCUGCACUCAUGAUGCCUUCUGAGGACUCUGCCCAUCUUCCUUGAUUAACUCCAGAAUACAGAAGCAACCCUAAAAAUGCAAGCAAACAUCCUGAAGAAGUCAGGAAUGGAUUUUUCUAAGACUCUGUAUAGGCAUACCUCGAAGAUAUUGUGGGUUGGAUCCAGACUACUACAAUAAAGAGAGUAUAAUAAUAAGUUAAGUCACAUAAAUUUUUUAUUUACUUAUAUAUACACUAUAUUGUAGUCUAUUAAGUAUGCAAUAGCAUUAUGUCUUAAAAUUUGUGUAUAUCUUAAUUUAAAGAUAUUUUAUUGUGAAAAAUGCUAACAAUCAUCUUGAGCCUUCAGUGAGUUAUAAUCUUUUGGCUGAUGGAGCAUCUUACCUCAAUUGUGGUGACUGUUGGCAGAGUGGUGGUUGCUGAAGGAUGGGGUGGCUAUGGCAAUUUCUUAAAAUAAAACAAUGAACUUUGGUGUAUCUGUCAACACUUCCUUUCAGAAGAGUUUUCUGUAGCCUAUGAUGCUGUUUAACAGCAUUUUACUAUCAGUAGAACCUCCUUCAAAAUUGGAGUCAAUCUUCUCCAACCCUGUUGCUGCCUAAUCAACCAUGUUUAUGUAACAUUCUAAAUUCUUUGCUGUUAUUUCAACAAUGUUCACAGGGCCGGGCACGGUGGCUCACGCCUGUAAUCCCAGCACUUUGGGAGGCUUAGGUGGGCAGAUCACGAGGUCAGGAGAUCAAGACCAUCCUGGAUAACACGGUGAAACCCCGUCUCUACUAAAAAUACAAAAAAAUAGCCGGGCAUGCUGGCAGGUGCCUGUAGUCCCAGCUACUCAGGAGGCUGAGGCAGGAGAAUACUGUGAACCCAGGAGGCGGGGUUUGCAGUGAGCCAAGAUCGCACCACUGCACUCCAGCCUGGGUAACAGAGCGAGACUCUGUCUCAAAAAAAAAAAAAAAAAAAAAAACAAGGUUCACAGCAUCUUCACCAAGAACAGAUUCCCUCGCAAAAAAACACUUUCUGGCCAGUUGCAGUAGUUGCUGUAAUCCCAGCAAUUUGGGAGGCCAAAAUGAGAUGGUCACUUGAGCCCAGGAGUUUGAGACCAGCCUGGGCAACAUAGGGAAACACUCUCUCUCCAAAAAAAAAAAAAAAAAAAUCAAUUUGCUGGGAAUGAUGGUGCAUACCUAUAGUCCCAGCUACUCAGGAGGCUGAGGUGGGAGGAUUGCUUGAGCCCAGAAGGUCAAGCUACAGUGAGAUGUUAUUGUGCCACUGCACUCCAGUUUGGGCAACAUAGUGAGACCUUGUCUCAAAAAUUAAAAAAAAAAAAAAAAAAAAAAGGAAAAGAAAAAAGAAACCACUUUAUUUGUGCAUCCAUAAGAAGCAACUCCUCAUCACUCAUCCAUCCGAGUUCUAUCAUGAGAUUGCAGCAAUUCAGUCCCAUCUUCAGGCUUCACUUAUAAUUGUAGUUCUCUUGCUAUUUCUACCAUAUCUGCAGUUACUUCCUCCAUUGAAGUCUUCAACUCCCCAAAGUUAUCCAUAAGAGUGAUAAUCGACUUCUUUCAAACUCCUGUUAAUGUUCAUAUUUUGACUUCCUCUUAUGAAUCACAAAUGUUCUUAAUGGCAUUUAAAAUGGUGAAUCCUUUCCAGGAGGUUUUCAACUCACUUUGCCAAGACCUAUCAGAGGAAUUAAUAAAAUAUAAAAUAUAAAAAUAACAUCAAUGUCCUUGCACAUGUCCAUCAGAGCCCUUGGAUGACCAAUUCAUUAUCAAUGAGCAGUAAUAUUUUGGAAAUAAUCUUUUUUUCUGAACAUUAGGUCUCCACAGCGGGCUUAAAAUUUUUAGUAAACAGUCUGUAAAAAGACUUGCUGUCGCCCAAGCUGUGUUGUUCUAUUUAUAGAGAACAAGCAGAGUAGGUAUAGUAUAAUUCCUAAGGAACUUAGGAUUUCCAGAACGAUCAAUGAAUAUUGGCUUCAACUUGAAGUUGCCAGCUUCAUUGGCCCCUAACAAGAGAGUCAGCCUGCCCCUUAAAGCUUUGAAGUCAGGCAUUGACUUCUCCUCUCUAGCUAUGAAAGUCCUAGAUGGCAUCUUCUUCCAAUAGAAGGCUGUUUGUCUAUAUUGAAAGUCUGUUGUUUAACAUAGCCACCUUUGUCAAUUAUCUUAGCUUGAUCUCUGGAUAACUUGCUUCAGCUUCUCCAUCAGCACUCACUGCUUCACCUUGCACUUUUAUAUUAUGAAGAUGGCCUCUUUCCUUAAACCCCAUGAACCCACCUUUGCCAAUUUUAAAUUUUCUUCUGUAGCUUCCUCACUUCUCUCAGCCUUCAAAGAACUGCACAGAGGUAUGGCCUUGCUCUGGAUUAGGCUUUGGCUUUAGGGAAUGUUGUGACUUGUUUGAUCUUUUAUCCAGACCACUAAAACUUUCUCUGUAUCAGCAAUGAAACUAUUUCACUUUCUUAUCAUUUGUGUGUUCGCUGAAGUAGCACUUUUAAUUUUCUUUGAGAACUUUUCCUUUGCAUUCACAACGGUUUGGCUCAAGAGGCUUAGCUUUCAGCCUACCUUGGCUUUCCACAUGUCUUCCUCACUAAUUUCAAUCAUUUCUAACUUUUGACUGAAAGUGAGAGAUGUGCCACUCUUCAUUUCACUUUAACACUUAGAGGACAUUGUAGGGUUAUUAAUUGGUCUAAUUUCAAUAUUGUUGUGUCCCAGGGAAUAGGGAGGCCUGAAGAAAGGGAGAGAGAUGAGGGAAUGGCCAAUUGGUGGAGCAAUUAGAAUGCCCAUAUUUACUUACUGAGUUUCCUGUCUUAUAUGGGCACAAUUUGUGACACCCCAGGACAGUUAUAAUGGUAACAUCAGAGAUUGCUGAUUACAGAUCUGCAAAACAGAUAUAAUAACAAGAUUUGAAAUAUUGCAAGAAUUACCAAAAUGUAACAGAUUGAAGUAAAGUGAGCACCUGCUCUUGGAAAAAUGGUACCAAUAGACUUGCUUGAUGCAGUGUUGCCACAAACCUUCUAUUUUUUAAAAAUGCAAUAUUUGCACAAAGCACAAUAAAGUGAAGUGCAAUAAAAUGAAGUAUGCCUGUAAUUGUCAUAUGUGUUCCAAAGCCCUAUCUAAACCAUUCAUAGUGAUAACAAUCCAAAAUAUUUUUAGAAUCUCCAGAAAACUUGAUUCAUUCUCUACAUUUUAGAAUCACAAUUAUAUCUAGAAUGUAUCUUGAAUAUUAUCUGCAAUCUUUAUUUACAAUACUCUCUUGUUCAUUUAUUUAUUUAUCUGAUUUUUUUCAGUAAACAGAAUAUUCAAUCCUAAGAGUCAUGAAAACCUCAAGUUUGAGCUCUACUCUAGUUGGUUGUAUGACUUUAAAAGUAGUACUUUAUAUCUCAGUAAUUAAAUUUUAUACUCUAUAAAAUUAAGGGUUUAGUCCAAUGCAUUUUAAAGGUCCCUUCCAGUUUCAAUGUUUAAGAUUUAAUAAUUACAAUAAUUGUUUACAUUAAUGAGUGCCAGCCAUUCUACUUAGCACCUAACAUAAUUUACCUCAUUCAAUCUUCCUAAAGCUCUAUGAAAUAAGUGCUAUUAUUAUUGAUAUUUUACCAAUGAGAAGACUGAGGCACAGGGAAGUUACAUAACUUUCCUGAAACCAUUCAACAGAAAGCAUAAAGCUGGAUGGAAAUCCAAGUAUGACUUAUUCUACUCUGAACAACAUCUAAAUCAAAGGGCAGGUGAGUAGAGAUAAAAAGUUACCCCAAAUGUUAAAUUCAGUCACUUCAGAAAAUUUCAGAAUGCUUGGCAGCAACUCUAGCUAUGAAUUGCUAAAUCACAAAGCAACAGGAAAAAUAUUUCCUGUCUCCAGCUAUCCCUCCCUCCUAAGCUGUAUUCCAUCAGCACAUCAGCACGUCUCCCCACAGACUCUCCCCAACCACGUGCACCAGUUCUACCUAAAUAUACAGGCACAUGUGUGCUCACAUACACACACACACACACACAUACACUGCUGGAAGAAGGAUAUCUACCUACUAAGUCUAUCUUAAAACACAGAAUGAUAUUUUAUAUGGCAAUCUUUAUAUAAUAAGAUUAGUGUGUUUGAAAUUGGAUUUUUAUAAAGAUAACGGAGCUUUUUAUUUCAUUUACAUGGAAACACCUACAAAGACAGUCACACACAUACAAAGUCACUGGCCUCAAACUAUUUUACCCACUUUUUUAUUAACAGAAAAAUUUUCUCUUUAAAUUAGUUUUGCUUAAGAUAGCAAUGGAGAAGAAACAAAAAGACACUCAACCUGAUAACAACAAUUAAACAGGAUAUUGAGCUAAAAUUUGAAUGAUCCUUAUUUUGAUCCCUGGCUAAUCAAAUUUUGAAAGCAUUCUCCAUAGCCUGUAGGAGUGUUUCAACUACAACAUGUUCUAAUGUUCUUCAGCAUGUUAUUCCUUCAUAAAACUGAAAAAUAUAGGAAAAAGUGUGCAUCAGUUCUUAGUCACUAGUGUAAGCAUAAUGUAGCCAUUAGUUAGAGAGCAUAUUCUAGUUAGUUUGUGGUAGCAAUUCUUCAGUUAACCUAUUAACAUACUCCAAUUUUAUUUAAGUAGUUUCAAAUUUAAAGAAAAAUAAAGAAUAUUUGAUAUUUUAAUGAAAUGAUGUAUUUAGUUGUGCCCAUCUGUACAAAAAAAUACAAAAUAUUAGUCAGGCAUGGUAGCACACACCGAUAGUACUAGCUACUUAGGAGGCUGAGGCAGAAGGAUUGCUUGAGUCCAGGAGUUCAAGGCUACUGUGAGCUAUGAUAGUGCCACUGCAAUCCAACUGAGUAACAGAAUGAGUUGCUAUUUCAAAACAGAAAUUUUCUUUUGGUAGCUGUCUCCUUGGAAAAUACAUGAGUAAUUAAUAGAGAAUUAUAUACCUAAAUAAUAAUAGAAAAAUAUUGAAGAAAUACAUACAUAUAUAUUAUAUAUGCAAAUUAAAUAAAACAUAUGCAAAUAUUUUUAAAUUGAAUAUUUAUCAUAACUUUAGAGGAGAAUGCUAAGUUUAAACAUCAUGCAACAACUUCAGGAAAUAAAAGUGCAGGAAUUCUACUUUGAAAAACAGUGUGCUAGGUUGGACCAACCAUCCUACUGAGAACAACUAGAAAAACUGAAUAAAAUACAAAAACAUAUUCUCAAAAAAAUGAAGAAGUUUAAAAAUAGUGAAGAAUUACCUGCUUAAGAUCUUGGAAGACUAUGAAAUUCAGAGAGUUAAGCCUGUCAUUUUUGGGCUCAAAUAACACUGGUAGCUGAAAGACUGGCAUCUUUGACAGUCCUAUAAUGUUAGGAACCAAAGGUUGAGGUACAAUAGCAAAGGAUGUUGGUCCUUAUAAAACACCACCCUUUAGGUAGGAAUCCUGAAAGGACGUACCCUAAUGGUAAUAAUGAACCAAAAAUAAACAAGUAAAGAUGAACUACAGACCAGCUUUGCAUCACUCAGAUAGCUCAGCAAAUCUUGUUCCUCAAAAUUGAAUUCUAAAAAUCUUUAAUUUUCAUUGAACUGAAGCUAAAAAAGUCAGAUAAAAUGUUUCUCUCUGUAUGAAGAUAAUAUUAUCCUAGGCCUUUAAAUUUUUACAAAUUUUAAAAUACCUUGUUAAGUCUACCAUCAAAAAUAACUAGGUACGUGUAUAGAAAAGGCAACAUGAAUGAGAAAUAAUAAAAAUAACAGAUAAAAUAAAUAUACCUAGAGGGGUUUCAUGUAUUAGAAUUAUCUGUCACAGACUUUAAAAUGAGUGAUAUGGUUUGGCUCUGUGCCCCCCCAACCCAAAUCUCAUCUCAAAUUAUAAACCCUGUAAUCCCCACAUGUUGAGGGAGGGACCUAGUGGGAGGUGGUUGGAUCAUGGGGGUGGUUCCCUCAUGCUGUUCUCAUGAUAGUGAGAGGUUUCUCACGACAGCUGAUAGUUUUAGAAGUGUUUGACAGUUCCUUCUUCCUGAACUUGCUCUCUUGCCUGCCACCAUGUAAGACGUGCUUGCUUCCUCUUCUGCCAUGGCUGUAAGUUUUCUGAGGCCUCCCCAGGCAUAUGGAACUAUGAGUCAAUUAAACCUCUUUUCUUUAUAAAUUACCUAGUCUUGGGCAGUUCUUUACAGUAGUGUGAAAAUGGACUAAUACAAUAACUGUACUUAUAACAGCAUAAAACAAAUUGUAGCAAGAAUUAAUUAUUAAAACAUUGCAUAGUCAAUGUGAAAAAGAAUAAAAUGGAGGCCCUAUAAUCAAAAACUGUAAUGGAAAUUAAGAACUCAGUGCCUGGUUUCAGUAGUAGAUUAGACUUGGAUGAAGGCAAUAUUAGUGAACAGGAAGAGAGCUCAGAAGAAAAUAUUUAGAAAGGAGUAAAGAAUGGAAAAUAUAGGAAAGUGCCUGAGACAUAGAGGACAUAGUAAAAACAUGUUACAUAUAGUAACUGUUGUUUCCAAAGGAAAGCAAAAAAAAAAAAGAAUAGGUCAGAAAUUACAUUUGGAAUUACAGCUAGAUAGGAGAGAUGAAUUAUAGUGUUCUGCAG